RNA transcript from Macadamia integrifolia, 3817 nucleotides. It is a transcript of the gene named UPF0496 protein 4-like, with no coding region annotated. NCBI's taxonomy places the organism in Eukaryota, Viridiplantae, Streptophyta, Magnoliopsida, Proteales, Proteaceae. The transcript is spliced from 3 exons. The record is from RefSeq and is a predicted model, not a curated record.
AGACCUACCUACUAUAUAAGGCUUUUACUCGGAGGCGGAUGACCAUAAAAAUCCCUAACCUUCGUUUUGCUCUUAUCGCAAAGUAGUGUGAAAGCGUCUGCAACUUUCUUUUCCAAAGAUUAGUUCUUCAUAGUUCCGUUUGCGCCUAUCAGUUGUACAUAAAUAAUAUGAGUCGACCUCAUGAUGGGCAUCCUUCGUCCUUUCCUUUCGGAAACCCUUUCCGAAUGAUCUUUCCCAGGGGGUCAUGGUUGUCUCCAAAGCUUGUGGGACUGUUGAAUUCUUUUGAGGAAAGAUUGGCAGAAAGGCUGAAGAAGCUCAACCUGAAAGAUCAGGGAGAUGUCCUUUGCUUGUCCUGGAUGAGAUUGGCAAUGGAGUUGCUCUCUGAAACACACGCUGACAUUAAAGUUCUCAUUACUGACCUUCAGUUCCCUGUCGCUGAUUGGGAUGAGAAAUGGAUGGAUGUGUACUUGGAUAAUAGUGUGAAGUUGCUUGAUAUUUGUCUUGCGUUUAGCUCUGAGCUCUCUCGGAUCAACCAAGCUCAUCUCUUGCUUCAGUGUGUGCUGCAUGUUUUGGACACCACUAGACCCACACCAUCAAGAGAGCAGCUUGCGCGAGCCCAUUUUUCCCUAGGUGAUUGGAUGAAGCAGAUUAGUGUCAGAAACCCAAAGCUGGAGAACUGUUCUACCAUCUUACAUGGUCUCAACGAAUCUCUUCACUUGGCUAAGGUUAAGAACUCAGCAAAGGGAAAGGUUUUGAUGCGUGCAAUGUAUGGGGUCAAGGUUCAGACCAUAUUUGUCUGUAGCAUCUUUGCAGCAGCUUUCUCAGGCUCACCUAGGCCGUUGGUGAAUUUGCAUGUUGCUGAAAAAUUUUUGUGGGCUGAGGCUUUCAACGAUUUGCAGGCUAAUGUAAAUGGAGUGGUUAGGAAUGUAAUUUCAAAUGGAAGUUCUACACCGUUAAAGGAGCUUGAAGCUGUUGAGGUGAGCGUUGGGAGGUUGUCUACCAUGAUUGACUGUGAUGGCAAUGAGCCUGUUGAAGAAGAAACAAUGUUGAGUUCUGUUUCGGAUUUGAGAAAGAGUUCUGAGAGGCUUUCACAAGGGUUGGAUAUUCUUUCAAAGGAAGUAGAGGGCUUCUUUCAGAUUGUUCUGACUGGUCGUGAUGCUUUGCUUGGUAAUUUAAGAGUUGAUGAUUCCGACUCUGACAUCAGAGUAGAAAGCAAUGUUGAACAGCAGGUUGUAAGGUGAUGAAAAGCUACUUCUGGACAUCUAGUUUGUAAGGGUAUCUGAUUGUUCAAAUAUCUACAGAACUUUACGCAACUGCAGUGCCAAAGACAGCCUCAUGAGUGUAGAGUUACAGUGGUCCACGAGAUGUUGAUAAGGAUCAUAACAAAUACGGAUUGGUCUGAGGUUGUUCACUUGUAGUCCCAAUACACAAUGAGGCGGGAUGACUUUAAGUAGCUCACCACAGUUAGAGCUCUCACUAAAUUAGAUGGUGGUUGGAAACUGCUCUGGAAAGAUGAACCUAAACACCAAAAAGGGGGAGCUGCUGGGAAGCUGUUGCUUAAUCGAGCCAGAAAGAUUGCCAGUUCGUGAUAAACCAAUGUUCACUGCUGAAAGAAAGGAAGAUGGUGCAUUUAAGAUUCUCUGAUUUUGAAUAGCUAAACCUAUAAGGCUGUGUUUGGUAUGAAUCCUUAGAAAGGAUUCUGGGUCUAGAACACAUUCUGAAGCGAGAAAAAUGUUGUCUGGAAUGCAUUCCUUUCUGAAUUCUCGGAAUGGGAUUAAGAGCAGGUCUCGCUGGAACAUGCCAAGAAGCCCAUUCUGCAUCCCAACUUUGGUACAUUCUUAUCAUGAUCACGUUCAUAGUCUCUCAACUUGAGUCCCUGGUGGCAGCUCUCUUCCUUGCCAGCUUUCUGAGCAGCUGCAUUUGAAAGUGAAUUUCGUCAUCGUUGUCAAAAAGCUGUGUUGUUGAAGAUGACUCGACCACUUGUCAACUAAAUCCCUAGCAAGCUUCCUGUUGGAUGUCUGUGAUAAAUAAUAAUGCAAUGUUAGUCUUGCAGACCGCAUCCUUCACAGAUGGUUCAAUGAUUUGGGGGUUCAUGUCCCAGUUUGGAUGCCGUUGUAGAGGAGCCCAGUGCUUCUCCAUACCUGGAUGGCUCAAAUGAUUCCAGAAGCAAAGACAACUACCACCCGCAACACUUGUGUUGACAUCAUUGGCCUCUGAGCAGCUGGGAACACAUCUUCCAGUAGGCCUUGUAGCAGUGGAUGGUCUGGCUAGGGCUGAUGUAGUUGGUGGCUUGGUGCAAGGAUCAUAGUGUGUGUCCUUGAAAUGUUAGCUCUUAUAGUAGCUGGUUUGCAUGGGAUGAGCCAUGAGUCCACAGGGUGUCUUGGCCUCUGAUUUUAUGAACAAGUAUAUUCCUUUGCCUUGCUCGAAGCCAGAAAUGAUUGGUUCAUCACUGGCAGCAGGAGUCUAGAGAGCAAGGAUCUCUCUAGCUGUUAUUUGGGACUUUGAUUUUAUGAACAAUUAUAUUCCUUUGCCUUGCCCCAGCCAGAAAUGAUUGGUUCAUCACUGGCAGCAGGAGUCUAGAGAGCAAGGAUCUCUCUAGCUGUUACUUGGGCAUCAAUUUCCUCUCCCCACCUGAUGUUCCAGAGCUUCAUAACCCAAAACCUACACUCCCAAUUAAUGCCAAGCUAAACCCAGUCAAGAAUUCGGAAAUUGGUUGGGCCCAGAGGAUGGGGGAAAGCACGAUGCAAUUGAUGUUGGGCUAAGGAUCUCUAAUAAGUAACGACUGGCAGGAGCUUAUUCAAGGACUCAGGGCUCAGCAAGGCCAAGACACCACAAGUACUGGAUGAGAGGCAUCUUGCAGAGGACUUCCAAGAACUUAAGUGAGAAAUGGCAGCUUCAUGAGUUUGUUGAUCACAGGUUUGGAUUCUAGGUUCAUUUCUACAUCAUAUCCGGUUGCCAUUUCUGAAUCUUCCAUCAGAUGUUCGAUCAGUAGAGCUUUUUCUUUGUUCUUCUUAUCAACAUAACCAAUGGCUGCUCACCACCUGAAAUGCUUUACCUGUUCUGAAGGAUGCAUUCUUUCUCUAGUAUCAGUUCUGCAUUCGAAGAAUGGGAAUGCAUUCUAAGACAUUCUGAAAAACCAAUACCAGAGGCCUUGGAGGAUGUAAGAUUGAUAUCUCCAAAAUGCUGGCUGAGCCUGGCUCUCUGUUUUGGGUACUGGAGAAUGGCUGCUGAAGACGACAUCGCAUUCUGUACCCUGAUGCUUCUGUGAUCUGUAUGGUGUCCAGUAUAGCCACAAGAAGCACAAAGAGCGCUUACAAUUGCGGUAUUGUGGAACAACAAAAAACUGAGCCUUAUCCCAACUUAAUCACGUGGAUCUGUGCAAAACAAAGUAGGUAAAACUGAGGUCCAAACAGAAAAAUUGAAAUGAAGAAAAUAGGACAUGAUGCGAGAAAUGGCAGUGGGAUGAAAGCAAGAUGAAAGAGGUGCAACCCAGUGAGAUAGGAGAAAGUCAGCUAAAUGUGGUCCAAACCUAUUGAUGGCGAAAUUUUCUCCGAGGCCUAAUAUAUUUUCACUUCUGUGUUGGAUCAACGCAGGUAUAUAUGAAUUUGGAUUCAAGUGCAUCUGUAAUAUGUGAAUAUGUAGAGUUGCAUCAAAUUGAGGAUGUGCUUCUGCUUCAGACUUGCAGAACUUUGUGAUGUCUUAACAGUGUUUAAUUAUCUGGAUUUUUUUUUUUCAGAUAAUAAGGUGCGUACGAUGAUGGCAAUUCUUUGUUUUCAAGGUGGUUGGUUAGUUGGCAAAGAUCAACAUCUCUUAUUUC